Molecule: ribosomal RNA, 780 nt
Filed under: Pseudomonas aeruginosa
Lineage: Bacteria; Pseudomonadati; Pseudomonadota; Gammaproteobacteria; Pseudomonadales; Pseudomonadaceae
Description: bacterial SSU rRNA
Rfam family: Bacterial small subunit ribosomal RNA
Source: RNAcentral
UUUUAUGAGAGUUUGAUCCUGGCUCAGGACGAACGCUGGCGGCGUGCCUAAUACAUGCAAGUCGAACGCUUCUUUUUCCACCGGAGCUUGCUCCACCGGAAAAAGAGGAGUGGCGAACGGGUGAGUAACACGUGGGUAACCUGCCCAUCAGAAGGGGAUAACACUUGGAAACAGGUGCUAAUACCGUAUAACAAUCGAAACCGCAUGGUUUUGAUUUGAAAGGCGCUUUCGGGUGUCGCUGAUGGAUGGACCCGCGGUGCAUUAGCUAGUUGGUGAGGUAACGGCUCACCAAGGCCACGAUGCAUAGCCGACCUGAGAGGGUGAUCGGCCACAUUGGGACUGAGACACGGCCCAAACUCCUACGGGAGGCAGCAGUAGGGAAUCUUCGGCAAUGGACGAAAGUCUGACCGAGCAACGCCGCGUGAGUGAAGAAGGUUUUCGGAUCGUAAAACUCUGUUGUUAGAGAAGAACAAGGAUGAGAGUAACUGUUCAUCCCUUGACGGUAUCUAACCAGAAAGCCACGGCUAACUACGUGCCAGCAGCCGCGGUAAUACGUAGGUGGCAAGCGUUGUCCGGAUUUAUUGGGCGUAAAGCGAGCGCAGGCGGUUUCUUAAGUCUGAUGUGAAAGCCCCCGGCUCAACCGGGGAGGGUCAUUGGAAACUGGGAGACUUGAGUGCAGAAGAGGAGAGUGGAAUUCCAUGUGUAGCGGUGAAAUGCGUAGAUAUAUGGAGGAACACCAGUGGCGAAGGCGGCUCUCUGGUCUGUAACUGACGCUGAGGC